This 497-nucleotide ribosomal RNA is filed under the name uncultured bacterium. Its description in RNAcentral is "partial 16S ribosomal RNA". It matches the Rfam family "Bacterial small subunit ribosomal RNA", at positions 28 to 507 of the family's 1533-position model. The record is from RNAcentral.
GACGAACGCUGGCGGCGUGCCUAAUACAUGCAAGUUGAGCGCUGAAGGUUGGUACUUGUACCGACUGGAUGAGCAGCGAACGGGUGAGUAACGCGUGGGGAAUCUGCCUUUGAGCGGGGGACAACAUUUGGAAACGAAUGCUAAUACCGCAUAAAAACUUUAAACACAAGUUUUAAGUUUGAAAGAUGCAAUUGCAUCACUCAAAGAUGAUCCCGCGUUGUAUUAGCUAGUUGGUGAGGUAAAGGCUCACCAAGGCGAUGAUACAUAGCCGACCUGAGAGGGUGAUCGGCCACAUUGGGACUGAGACACGGCCCAAGCUCCUACGGGAGGCAGCAGUAGGGAAUCUUCGGCAAUGGACGAAAGUCUGACCGAGCAACGCCGCGUGAGUGAAGAAGGUUUUCGGAUCGUAAAACUCUGUUGGUAGAGAAGAACGUUGGUGAGAGUGGAAAGCUCAUCAAGUGACGGUAACUACCCAGAAAGGGACGGCUAACUACGUG